Archocentrus centrarchus (flier cichlid) is the source of this 296-nucleotide long non-coding RNA. RefSeq lists it as uncharacterized. NCBI's taxonomy places the organism in Eukaryota, Metazoa, Chordata, Actinopteri, Cichliformes, Cichlidae. The record is from RefSeq and is a predicted model, not a curated record. The transcript has 2 exons.
UUCAGUCAGAGGAAUAGAGUCAGGGGGCUGGAGGAGAUCGUCUCACAGACUUGCGAUGGACGAGCUUUAUUUUACUGUGGACUUUGAAUUUGCCUGCAGACCGAGGCUGCACAGAGGUCCUCAGAGCGGUGACACUGGACAAAUCUCAGGAAGCAUCAGGACUCCCCUCCUCUGGACAGUGUAGGAAUUACAGGCUUCCUUCAGCGCUCUGCGUCUUUGGGCACGUUUAAAAAUCCGUUUCUGAAUCUUUCAUGGAAACAAACAUGUCAGAAUAAACUUCACGGAUCCAAACUUUA